This 506-nucleotide ribosomal RNA is filed under the name uncultured bacterium. Its description in RNAcentral is "partial 16S ribosomal RNA". It matches the Rfam family "Bacterial small subunit ribosomal RNA", at positions 29 to 523 of the family's 1533-position model. The record is from RNAcentral.
AUUGAACGCUGGCGGCAUGCCUAACACAUGCAAGUCGAACGGCAGCACGGUCUAGCUUGCUAGAUGGGUGGCGAGUGGCGCACGGGUGAGUAACGCGUAGGAAUAUGCCUUGAAGUGGGGGAUAACUUGGGGAAACUCAAGCUAAUACCGCAUAAGCUCUUAGGAGGAAAGCUGGGGACCGUAAGGCCUGGCGCUUCAAGAUUAGCCUGCGUCCGAUUAGCUAGUUGGUGGGGUAAGGGCCUACCAAGGCGACGAUCGGUAGCUGGUAUGAGAGGAGUGCCAGCCACACUGGGACUGAGACACGGCCCAGACUCCUACGGGAGGCAGCAGUGGGGAAUAUUGGACAAUGGGGGCAACCCUGAUCCAGCAAUGCCGCGUGUGUGAAGAAGGCCUGAGGGUUGUAAAGCACUUUCAGUGGGGAGGAGGAUUGACAGGUUAGGAGCUAGUUAAUUGGACGUUACCCACAGAAGAAGCACCGGCUAACUCCGUGCCAGCAGCCGCAGUAA